UACGAGUGCAAUGGACAGACGUACUGU
RNAcentral lists this non-coding RNA (27 nucleotides) under Homo sapiens (human). The record is from RNAcentral. Lineage: Eukaryota; Metazoa; Chordata; Mammalia; Primates; Hominidae.